Molecule: unclassified non-coding RNA, 191 nt
Filed under: uncultured fungus
Lineage: Eukaryota; Fungi
Description: sequence contains ITS1
Source: RNAcentral
UUAAUUUUGUUUUGCCUUGCGGCGUAUUCAGAACAUGCUGGUAAUACAAGAGUUUGAGGGUCCCCGGCGGCCGCUGGUCCAGUCCGCGUCCGGCUGGGGCGAGUCCGCCGAAGCAACAAUAGGUAGGUUCACAUAAGGGUUAGGGAGUUGAAAACUCGGUAAUGAUCCCUCCGCUGGUUCACCAACGGAGA